GUCAAUACCCUUACUUUUAUCCAGUGUCUGCUUCAUUUAAACUUAAUCAACUCCAUCAACGAACUGGAACAGGGAAACGUCCCUGCGGCUUCUAAUGUGAGGAAAAACACGGAAUGACAAGUGUGGGAAAGAGCAAGCACUAAAUUACUGUCAGAAAAAUAAACGGAGUAGCACAGUGGUGCUCAGUGAUUUACGGGGGCAAUUAGUCACCACCCCAUGGCGCUGCUGAGGACAGCACGGCAGCAGACGCGUCAGGCCUGAGAGGAAGAAGAGGCUUUGCACUGCUUUCCAGACAACUUUUCAAACAAGAGAGGAUAUUUGAGCACAUUAGGUUCCAUGUCUUCAUUCUGGGUGCCCACCCCUUCACAUUAUUCAACCAACCUAAUACAUAAACGUAUUUUUAACACAAUAUUAACCUGUUCUGUGUGUGUUGAAAAGACUCCAACUGCAACUUUUUUCUCUCCCACUGUCCAGAGUAGGUUUUUCCCACCUCUUAAAUGAAACAAACCUUUCCCCACUCCCAAAUUGUCCCCCUGAUGUGUGCCUUUGGUCUGUCUCAUUACUUCUUGCAUCUUGCUAUCAUGUUCUGUAUUUGCUUAGAGCCACAGGGUGCUAAGGAGUUUGGUCUCUAGCUCUUCUGAGGAAGUUUGAUGAGCUGGUACAAAGAGGUGAUGAAUGAGGCUGUAAAACCCAGAGUAAAUGAGAAAAAUACAUAAACUUCCUGAUAUUUGUUGGCCUGUUUUUAACAUACUGUAUACAGUGCCUAUGUAUAUACACAUAGCAAAAUAAAUCUGCUAAGAUAUAA
Leptonychotes weddellii (Weddell seal) is the source of this 805-nucleotide non-coding RNA. NCBI's taxonomy places the organism in Eukaryota, Metazoa, Chordata, Mammalia, Carnivora, Phocidae. The record is from RefSeq and is a predicted model, not a curated record.